This is a long non-coding RNA of Acanthaster planci (crown-of-thorns starfish), 3616 nucleotides long. The record is from RefSeq and is a predicted model, not a curated record. Lineage: Eukaryota; Metazoa; Echinodermata; Asteroidea; Valvatida; Acanthasteridae.
GUGGGACGCCGAAGUGAACGGACGUGUCGAACUGUCGCUCGUUAUUUGGCGCGAAGAUUCAACGGUUGCCCGCGAAACCAGUGAUGUAUUAAUAGGAUCGACGGUGCGUUUUUAUGGAUCGUCACAUGAAAGACCUUCCACCACCCCGGGAAAGCACGGACAGAGACCAAUUGGCAGAUGGUGAUCGUGAUGAGCUGAGCGGUGAGGACCAGUUACCGAUGAUUCCAGAGUUUCCUGAAAUCCCUGAAUGGAUGAGGGUGUCUGCUAGUCACAAAGAAAAGUCAACUUCACCAGCACCAAGAGGGUACAGGGAUGUCGAAGAUGGUACGAUCGCCAAGGGGGAAGGCAAAAGUCACCGAAAGUGAAGGACGGGAAUUUCGAAUCAGUGAACGACUUCAGAUUGUCUGCUAAGCUUUAAUGAAGCUGAUGCUGAACCUCGUGCGCCGGAGAAGAAAAUGAUAUACGAUGUUCAACUUGCUUGAUUGUCAUCAUGGUGUUCUUGUGUAGAUUGUGGGUUUAUGUUAGAAACUUUCGGACUUUGUGUAAAAAGAAGGUUGUUUAUCGCGUAAAGGUUUUCCCGGCCAAUUCAAGUCAACUGCUCUUUUGUUCAUUGGUUGUUUGGAAUUAAAUCUUGCCUUUUUGUUCGGAUUCGAAGGUCCUAUAAUGUUUCUUUCAAGAUUCUACCAUUGCUGUGAUUACCAUGCUCAUUUAUUGCUAGACCGUUCAACCUUAAUUGAAGCGUUCGGAGGCAAUGUCCUAAGGCCGGUUCAUACUUCAGACGAACGCAAAAGCGGAGCAAAUUGACGUCACGGAACGCAGCGACAUUGCCAGAAAGUGUUCAAUUAUUAUUUUACAAAUUCAUAGCAUGAAUAUUUGAUCUGAAGUUUGUCUUCUAUUCAAUUCGACCAUCUGAAAAUGAAUUUCAAUGCAAUUUUUACGAACCUGGCCUAGAUAACCUACAAUAAAGGUUUUUCCCCGGCUAAUUUCAAAUUGUUCAGUUUAACAUGAGCCCACAACAUGUUUGAACGUAGGCAGGUAUAUACAACACCUGCAUAAAUGCCCGUCAUCUAAUUGGUGCAUCGUUGAUAACAUGCAUAAGCAUGCAGAGUGCAAAGAAAUUUAUAACAACUGUGCGCUAGAAACGAAUACCGAACACCUCCGGAUCAAUUGCACUGCAGGUUCUAGUGGCGCAAGUUUCUCAAUGGUAAAACGACGAGAGAUCAAGCUCCGCCGUUCACAAUUCUACGAAAUAAUUAUAAGAACUUGUUUUGUAAGUGAUUCUGAUGCUGCCAACAUAAGAACAUUGAUAAAAUGCUGCCAAACGAUUAAACGAGCUUGGAAUAUCAUGUCGGAAAAUUAAAGGAUUCACAACUGGACAACUUCCAGUUUGAAUCAGUUAAUUAAUCUAGUUAUACUCAGAAAAUCAGAUGAUGAGGAUUUGUACAGGUGUUAUAUAAAACAAUAAUGAAUGUUUUGCAUUCGUGCUAAAGAAUAAUUGCAUUUAUUCUUAUCAUCGCACUCAUAAACAUUCAUUAUUUGUAUAAUAGCAGACUGAAACCUGUUUAACAUGCUUCAUUCAAUUCUGUUUCAGUAGCAUGUACUUUCUGAUUACUUAUACCCAUGUUAGAGGGAAUUUUGCAAGGGAAGAAUAACAAGGACGCAGGGACACACACAAAUUCAUUUUGUGAAAGCUGUGACUCUGCUUUCAUAUGUCAUGCCGAAUUUCAAAUAGUCGGUAUAAUUAUACACAAAAAUAAAGAAAAUUCAACAACACCUGCAGAGUAAGACAAACUUCCUGUCUUGAUUCCCUUAUAAGUCCAUUUAACCAACCUUGCGCAAAACCUCUUUAAUGGCACGAAUUGGGAUUAUUUUAACCCAUACAACAGGAAUAUUAUAUAGAGCUCUUAAAGUGAAAAGGCCUUUUAACGCCUACAAUUUGAAAUGCAUUAUCACCCAAACGGUCCAAGCAAAUGCUGUCCAGUUUGAACGUAAAAUGUCAGCUGGUGGUGUUUGUAACUGACGUGCUUUUUAGAGUGGUGAUCCAGGGAUAUAAACACAAACACUCAGAUUAAGUUCUGUGCAGCUCUUCAGAAAAUACUCCUUAGCAUGUUUUAAUGUGUAGCAUCGUCAGCAUCUCCUUUCAAAUCAACUUGUGAAAGUGAAAUACGCUAUUUGUUAUUUCACUUGAUCAGACUUUAUAGAAGUAAACUCAAUUUUUAUUACCUCCGGAUCUUCAAGCGCAAAUAAGAUGAAAUAAAAGGCAUUAUAAAGCCAAUGCAUUCUCUUAAACAAGCUAUAAACAUCGUCAGUUGAUUUUUUUAUAGCAUAAUUUUCUUGGACUAUUUUGAGGCACACAGGUAGAUUGAAUGUAAAUAGACACGGUGAAAAUACCACACAUCUGUAAAAUCCUCUGCCCUUUGAUGAUUCUUAAUAAGAAUGCCAAUUUGACAAGAAAUUGAAAAUUGAAUUUACAAAUGAAAAAAGGGUUGAAUGCCAUAGACCCUACGUGUAAAAGACCAAGAAUAAGUUAAAUUAACCUGGUUGUGCACAAUAGGAAGCUGAAGCCUACUUCGAAAAGGAAAUCUCGGUUUGAGCAAAAUCAAACAAUCUGCACGAAUGUGAGAGGGUUUCAAAAAUGAACGCAAUUUUGCUGAAGUUGGCCGGGAAAUCCUAUAAUGGAUUCAUGUAAUGGCAAAACAAAUAAUUUCAAUGUUCACUGUGUGAAGUAGUGUCAAUAAUUUUCUGUUUAAAUAACCAAGAAGCAGAUAGUACUGUUUUUCUUGAAUAUCACGGAACUGUGAGUUUCAAAGGGUUUCACCAACGAAAGGGAAUUCGAGCACUUUUUCUAUAGUAUUUCACGAGAGUUAAGCUAUUGAAGGAGUGGGUGUAAUUUGAGCUUCGAGGCACAAACCUUCAUGACUGCGUGCGUCAUUGUCCCACUGAAAACACAGUCUAUGUGCUCUGAUAAUUCGUCAUAGAAUCAUUGGUGUAAAUUUCAUGCCCACACUAUUCGUUGACUAUGCAUCACAAAGGAUCUUACACUUGUCUGAUAUUGUAAAUGAUAGAAACCCAAUGAUCAAACUUUUGAGUAAAGAUGGUGUAUUUCGUAUAUGGUGUGCAUAUGGAAUAUAUAUUUGCAAUGCCAUCUUUAGAACGAUAUUUAUUCAACACGAUAACCCCAAUCACCAAAUACGCUCCAAAAAUGCGUCGUUUUUGUCCAGCUCUAUCGGGUAUAAUUAUGGUUACGUAUAUCAGCCUUCAUUUUACGUCCCACGACCUUUGCACCGAUAUAUUGGUGAAUAUUUGUGAAAAAAUAAAUAGUUAUAGGACUUGAAGGAUUUUGAAUCUAAAGAGAAGUUAACACAGUCUUCAAUACACCUUUACGGGGUCACUCCUCUUUGAAGCACUAUUUUGUAUAAAAGCUAUUGCCAUUGCAGCUUGCUUACCGUAUGUUUGAAAUGCAUAAAGUUGUAAUAAUCAGUGAGUAGCCUACUUUUACACUAAUCAGUGAACCAAGGUUCUGAUAAUUAAGAAUUGAGUAGAUUGAGAAAUAUAUGAGUGAUAAAUGAAUAAACAAAGAUAAAAAAUAAUUUGAAAUAAAAUUACAUGCGUUGUA